Molecule: ribosomal RNA, 514 nt
Filed under: uncultured bacterium
Lineage: Bacteria
Description: partial 16S ribosomal RNA
Rfam family: Bacterial small subunit ribosomal RNA
Source: RNAcentral
GAUGAACGCUGGCGGCGUGCCUAAUACAUGCAAGUCGAGCGAACAGAUGAGAAGCUUGCUUCUCUGAUGUUAGCGGCGGACGGGUGAGUAACACGCGGGUAACCUACCUAUAAGACUGGGAUAACUCCGGAAAACCGGGGCUAAUACCGGAUAAUAUUUUGAACCGCAUGGGUCAAUAGUGAAAGACGGUUUCGGCUGUCACUUAUAGAUGGACCCGCGCCGUAUUAGCUAGUUGGUAAGGUAACGGCUUACCAAGGCGACGAUACGUAGCCGACCUGAGAGGGUGAUCGGCCACACUGGAACUGAGACACGGUCCAGACUCCUACGGGAGGCAGCAGUAGGGAAUCUUCCGCAAUGGGCGAAAGCCUGACGGAGCAACGCCGCGUGAGUGAUGAAGGUCUUCGGAUCGUAAAACUCUGUUGUUAGGGAAGAACAAAUUUGUUAGUAACUGAACAAGUCUUGACGGUACCUAACCAGAAAGCCACGGCUAACUACGUGCCAGCCGCCGCAGUAA